CUGGCGGGCUCCUUCUGUAAAGUUGCUGCCGCCUGCCGGCCACACACUGCCCGGUCCUCUACCCCCGAGCCACCCCUUGCCCUUUGGCCACAAACAAGGCGAAGGGCUUUUCAAGGUCAGGCAUCCCCAGCACCGGACUGUGGCCAGCAGGCUCCUCCCUGUUUGCCCUUCCGUUCAAGCGGGUCAGUGUCUGGGCCUCAGCGACCUGGACCCCGGAAUCCAGACCCCGCCAGGGCCUCCCAGCCCUAGAAACCUCCUGCACUGCGUUUGGUCCGCGGCGGGCCUGGGCCCGGUGUGGCUUCCGUGUGCGCCACAGAAAGUGCCCGCCUUCCCGCGGUCCGGACGUGUCCCCGGCGUGUCCUUGUCAGGGAAUCUGGGCCUGUGUGGGGGAGCUCCCAGCCUGGUUCGGGGGACGUGGGUUCUUCCUGGGAGGGGCGACAGAGGAGCAGCUCAUCGGCAGGCUGCGGGGGCUCCCCGAGUUCUCUGGCCAGAGCUUCGCCAGGUGGGUGGGGACUGCCCUGGAGCCCUGUGGCAGGACCGUGCGGGGUCCCUGCCGAGUCACGCUGCCACGGGAGCGCCCGAGCCACCGGCUGACGCCCUGAGAUUCCGGGCAUGCGGGCACGCAGAAGAACGCGUCUGGAGCUGGAGGACUGGGAGCAACCGCACCUUCAGGCGUCUGGGCUGACAGCUCAGGGAUGAGGCAUGACGGGGUGGAGGGGGUGGCAGGCCGCUGGCCGCCCGGGUUGCUGGGCCACCUGGUCCUCCCCACCCACUUCCAGAGCGGGCAGGAUGGGGGUCCUGCACGGAGAGCGGCACAGGGCCAGGAACAUGUCUGUUACGGGCUGGGGGCCUCGCCGGGGCUCAGGCUUAAUGGGGUGCUGGCGUGUGCCAGGGUAAUUACUCUUGUCCUUUAAAGCAGCUGGGGUCCCCUCGUGGCACACGUGGGAAUUAACCGGAUGCCACACCUGCAGGGAAAGAGCUGGAGCUCCCCGGCUCAGAGGCUGGCCGGGAGAGGCCCCGAGCCCCGGGGGGCUGAGACAAGCUCCCAGGGCGGACAGAAAAUCUCUUCCCAAGACCAGGCCUGGACCUUCUGGCACAACCAAGAGUUUGGGAGCCACGAGGUGAUUUCCCCACCACCAAGACAGAGGUCGGGUGGGACAUGUCGAUUGGGCUCCCCCUCUCCCAUGACCAUGCAGCAGGUCAGCAGCCGGGGGUCCAGACUGGGAAGUCAGGGAAGAAGUGCCUCUCGGGUCGAUUCGAAAGUGAAUAGGGUCACCUGCCCUAACCCCCAAGAUGCGAUGGUCUUCUGGGAGCAUCCGGAAGCCUCGGGCCCAUUGAUCAGCCACGACCGUGACCGCGAUCUUCUGGAGCUUUCUAGGAACAUCGGGGGCUGACCGGCUUACGCAGCAGCCCCGGGAUCAAGCACCCAUCCUGAGGGCCUGGGGACGUACGUGGAUCUCCGCAGCCCUUCCGCUGCGCGGGAUUGGAAGAGGGCAGGAUUUCCCUCCUCGUGGCGCCGUUCACUGGCUUGAUGACACGCCCCUUCGCGCCCUCCCAGAGGCACGCCUCCUGGCGGUCCCCGAGGGCCAAGCCCUGCUGCCCAGGCUAGUGGUCCCACCUGGGGUCCGUCUGAGGUCCAGCCACCAUCCCCAGUGGGUGCAUGAGGGGAGAACGCUGGGGAGGGCACCUGCGCGGGUCCGCGCUCCGGCCCAGCUGCACAAACCCCCAGGUUCCAGCAGAGGGUGAGAGCGAUGACCCAGGGGUCCCUCCAGGUGAGAUCAAACGUCGGGGUCAGGCCCGUGAAGUCCUCCGUGAAUGUGUCCCUGUCCUCAGAGAAACGACAGGGGCUCAGGGCAUCGUUCUGACACGGAAGAGGGGAUGUACUCUGGUUGUGCCCAGAGGCCCCCCCGCCACGUUGCCACGUUGCCACGUUGCCACGUUGGGAAGCCGGAACGGGAAUCCUUCUGACUCGGCUCCAGUGACGGGGACAGAUGCAUUGGCUGUUGUCCUUCCAAAGCAGCCCCCUUGAUCCUCAACCGCCAUCGGCAUCUACACAGUGGGUCCCACUCGCCUGGAGGCUCUGCGAGGUGGGGACUGCAUCGGGCUCCGUGAACGCUGUGAUCCGGGUAGGACGCCAAGUCCUCCAGGGUCCACAGCGAGAGCUGGAGGAUUGGUCCGCAGAAUCCGAAGCGACUGGUUUCCUCCACAAAUACGUCGUCGGCAGGGAGACAGAAAGAGAGGGUCAGACGCGGGGAGACCCUGUUCCUUAAACGAGACGUAUGGAGCCAGUUUGGACCCCAGCCUGAGCAAAGGGAAAGCGUUCUACAAGACAAUCAGGGAAAUUGGGCUCUGGCUGGACAUUGGAGAAUAUUCAGGAAUGACUGUUAGUUGUUUUAAACAGUGAUAACGGAAUUGUUGGGUUUGGCUUGUUUUUCUUAAGUCCUUCUAUUUUAGAUA
This is a long non-coding RNA of Ailuropoda melanoleuca (giant panda), 2457 nucleotides long. RefSeq lists it as uncharacterized. The transcript is spliced from 3 exons. Lineage: Eukaryota; Metazoa; Chordata; Mammalia; Carnivora; Ursidae. The record is from RefSeq and is a predicted model, not a curated record.